AGUCGACGGGAAGACAUGAAGAGCUUGCUCUUUAUGAAAUCCAGUGGCAAACGGGUGAGUAACACGUAAACAACCUGCCUUCAGGAUGGGGACAACAGACGGAAACGACUGCUAAUACCGAAUACGAUUCUUGAGUCGCAUGACACAAGAAAGAAAGGGUGGCCUCUACUUGUAAGCUAUCGCCUGGAGAGGGGUUUGCGUCCGAUUAGGUAGUUGGUGAGGUAACGGCCCACCAAGCCGACGAUCGGUAGCCGGUCUGAGAGGAUGAACGGCCACAUUGGAACUGAGACACGGUCCAGACUCCUACGGGAGGCAGCAGUGGGGAAUCUUCCGCAAUGGGCGAAAGCCUGACGGAGCAACGCCGCGUGAGUGAAGACGGCCUUUGGGUUGUAAAACCCUGUGAUUCGGGACGAAAGAUAAGUAGACGAAUAAUCUGCAUAAGUGACGGUACCGAAAAAGCAAGCCACGGCUAACUACGUGCCAGCAGCCGCGGUGAUACGUAGGUGGCAAGCGUUGUCCGGAAUUAUUGGGCGUAAAGCGCGCGCAGGCGGCUACUUAAGUCCAUCUUAAAAGUGCGGGGCUUAACCCCGUGAUGGGAUGGGAACUGAGAAGCUGGAGUGUCGGAGAGGAAAGUGGAAUUCCUAGUGUAGCGGUGAAAUGCGUAGAGAUUAGGAAGAACACCGGUGGCGAAGGCGACCUUCUGGACGACAACUGACGCUUAGGCGCGAAAGCGUGGGGAGCAAACAGGAUUAGAUACCCUGGUAGUCCACGCCGUANACGAUGGAUACUAGGUGUAGGAGGUAUCGACCCCUUCUGUGCCGGAGUUAACGCAAUAAGUAUCCCGCCUGGGAAGUACGAU
RNAcentral lists this ribosomal RNA (859 nucleotides) under uncultured bacterium. RNAcentral describes it as "bacterial SSU rRNA". It matches the Rfam family "Bacterial small subunit ribosomal RNA", at positions 60 to 886 of the family's 1533-position model. The record is from RNAcentral.